This 666-nucleotide ribosomal RNA is filed under the name Triticum aestivum (bread wheat). Its description in RNAcentral is "partial small subunit ribosomal RNA". The record is from RNAcentral. Lineage: Eukaryota; Viridiplantae; Streptophyta; Magnoliopsida; Poales; Poaceae.
AUGCCGCCUCCUAUCUCCCCGCUGCCGCUCAUGGCCUCCAGCCCAAUCCCGUCGCCUCCGGCCGCGCGACCCGGCAGCGGCAGAGCCCUCGCCGCCGUCGUGCCCUGCAACUCCUCGGCAUCACCGUCAUCGUCGACGUCGACGUCUUCGGUGGCGCUGGCUGGCGGCAGGAGGGGCGUGCUCGCGCUGGGCGCGGGGUUCCUGGCCUCCGCGGCGCUGCUGUGCCCGGCCGGGGACGCCGGCGCGACGCGCAUCGAGUACUUCGCGACGGUCGGGGAGAAGCUCUGCGACAUGGACUUCGCCAAGUCCGGGCUCGGCUACUGCGACGUCGAAAUCGGCACGGGCGUGCAGCCCAAGCGCGGCGAGCUCAUCAAUAUACACUACACGGCGAGGUUCCCCGACGGGACAGUGUUCGACAGCAGCUACAAGCGCGGGAGGCCACUGACGAUGCGCAUCGGCGCAGGCAAGAUCCUCCGGGGGCUUCAACAGGGGAUCGGCGGCGGCGGCGGCGUGACGCCCAUGCUCGUCGGUGGGAAGCGCAAGCUGAUGAUACCUCCGAUUUUGGCAUACGGGCCCGAACCAGCAGGCUGCUUCUCAGGGGACUGCAACAUUCCUGGGAACUCCACGAUACUGUACGACAUCCUCCUCGUCGGCAUCUACAAGUGA